AGUGAACGCUGGCGGUAGGCCUAACACAUGCAAGUCGAACGGCAGCACAGUAAGAGCUUGCUCUUACGGGUGGCGAGUGGCGGACGGGUGAGGAAUACAUCGGAAUCUACUUUUUCGUGGGGGAUAACGUAGGGAAACUUACGCUAAUACCGCAUACGACCUACGGGUGAAAGCAGGGGAUCUUCGGACCUUGCGCGAUUGAAUGAGCCGAUGUCGGAUUAGCUAGUUGGCGGGGUAAAGGCCCACCAAGGCGACGAUCCGUAGCUGGUCUGAGAGGAUGAUCAGCCACACUGGAACUGAGACACGGUCCAGACUCCGACGGGAGGCAGCAGUGGGGAAUAUUGGACGAUGGGCGCAAGCCUGAUCCAGCCAUACCGCGUGGGUGAAGAAGGCCUUCGGGUUGGAAAGCCCUUUUGUUGGGAAAGAAAAGCAGCAGGUUAAUACCCCGCUGUUCUGACGGUACCCAAAGAAUAAGCACCGGCUAACUUCGUG
RNAcentral lists this ribosomal RNA (492 nucleotides) under uncultured bacterium. RNAcentral describes it as "partial 16S ribosomal RNA". It matches the Rfam family "Bacterial small subunit ribosomal RNA", at positions 29 to 507 of the family's 1533-position model. The record is from RNAcentral.